UGGUGCAUGGCCGUCGUCAGUUCGUACUGUGAAGCAUCCUGUUAAGUCAGGCAACGAGCGAGACCCACGCCCACAGUUGCCAGCGUACUCUCUGGAGUGACGGGUACACUGUGGGACCGCCGCUGCUAAAGCGGAGGAAGGAAUGGGCAACGGUAGGUCAGUAUGCCCCGAAUAUCCCGGGCUACACGCGAGCUACAAUGGUUGGUACAAUGGGUAUCUACCCCGAAAGGGGACGGGAAUCUCCUAAAACCAAUCUUAGUUCGGAUUGAGGGCUGCAACUCGCCCUCAUGAAGCUGGAAUCCGUAGUAAUCGCGUUUCAACAGAACGCGGUGAAUACGUCCCUGCUCCUU
RNAcentral lists this ribosomal RNA (350 nucleotides) under uncultured Methanosaeta sp. RNAcentral's name for it is "bacterial SSU rRNA". It matches the Rfam family "Archaeal small subunit ribosomal RNA", at positions 988 to 1338 of the family's 1478-position model. Lineage: Archaea; Methanobacteriati; Methanobacteriota; Methanomicrobia; Methanotrichales; Methanotrichaceae. The record is from RNAcentral.